RNAcentral lists this ribosomal RNA (402 nucleotides) under uncultured Coprococcus sp. Its description in RNAcentral is "bacterial SSU rRNA". It matches the Rfam family "Bacterial small subunit ribosomal RNA", at positions 355 to 769 of the family's 1533-position model. Lineage: Bacteria; Bacillati; Bacillota; Clostridia; Lachnospirales; Lachnospiraceae. The record is from RNAcentral.
UGGGGAAUAUUGGGGCAAUGGGGCGAAAGCCUGACCCAGCAACGCCGCGUGAGGGAAGAAGGUUUUCGGAUUGUAAACCUCUGUCCUUGGGGACGAAGGAAGUGACGGUACCCAAGGAGGAAGCCCCGGCUAACUACGUGCCAGCAGCCGCGGUAAUACGUAGGGGGCAAGCGUUAUCCGGAUUUACUGGGUGUAAAGGGAGCGUAGGCGGCGGAGCAAGUCAGAAGUGAAAGCCCGGGGCUCAACCCCGGGACGGCUUUUGAAACUGCCCUGCUUGAUUUCAGGAGAGGUAAGCGGAAUUCCUAGUGUAGCGGUGAAAUGCGUAGAUAUUAGGAGGAACACCAGUGGCGAAGGCGGCUUACUGGACUGACAAUGACGCUGAGGCUCGAAAGCGUGGGGGAG